UGGGGUAUAUUGCACAAUGGGCGAAAGCCUGAUGCAGCGACGCCGCGUGGGGGAUGAAGGCUUUCGGGUUGUAAACCUCUUUCGCUAUCGAACAAGGCCCGCUUAGGGUUGGUUGAGGGUAGGUGGAGAAGAAGCGCCGGCUAACUACGUGCCAGCAGCCGCGGUAAUACGGAUGGCGCGAGCGUUGUCCGGAAUUCUUGGGCGUAAAGGGCUUGUAGGCGGCGUGUUGCGCCUGCUGUGAAAACACGGGGCUUAACUUCGCGCGUGGAGUGGGUAGGGGAAGGCUUGAGUGUGGGAGGGGUGACUGGAAUUCCAGGUGUAGCGGUGGAAUGCGCAGAUAUCUGAGGAGCACCGAUGGCGAAGGCAGGUCACUGGGCCAUUACUGACGCUGAGGAGCGAAAGCAUGGGUAGCGAACAGG
RNAcentral lists this ribosomal RNA (419 nucleotides) under bacterium. Its description in RNAcentral is "partial 16S ribosomal RNA". It matches the Rfam family "Bacterial small subunit ribosomal RNA", at positions 355 to 776 of the family's 1533-position model. The record is from RNAcentral.